RNAcentral lists this ribosomal RNA (513 nucleotides) under uncultured bacterium. Its description in RNAcentral is "bacterial SSU rRNA". It matches the Rfam family "Bacterial small subunit ribosomal RNA", at positions 17 to 518 of the family's 1533-position model. The record is from RNAcentral.
UUAUGGCUCAGGAUGAACGCUAGCUACAGGCUUAACACAUGCAAGUCGAGGGGCAGCAUGGUCUUAGCUUGCUAAGAUUGAUGGCGACCGGCGCACGGGUGAGUAACGCGUAUCCAACCUUCCCUAUAGUAGGGGAUAGCCCGUAGAAAUGCGGAUUAAUACCCUAUGUUGUAUUUCGAGGACAUCUGACGAAUACCAAAGGUUCACCGCUAUAGGAUGGGGAUGCGUCUGAUUAGGUAGUCGGCGGGGUAACGGCCCACCGAGCCAACGAUCAGUAGGGGUUCUGAGAGGAAGGUCCCCCCACAUUGGAACUGAGACACGGUCCAAACUCCUACGGGAGGCAGCAGUGAGGAAUAUUGGUCAAUGGGCGAGAGCCUGAACCAGCCAAGUAGCGUGCAGGAUGACGGCCCUAUGGGUUGUAAACUGUCUUUUAUGCGGGAUAAAGUGAGGGACGUGUCCCUUAUUGUAGGUACCGCAUGAAUAAGGACCGGCUAAUUCCGUGCCAGCAGCCGC